RNAcentral lists this ribosomal RNA (451 nucleotides) under uncultured bacterium. RNAcentral describes it as "partial 16S ribosomal RNA". It matches the Rfam family "Bacterial small subunit ribosomal RNA", at positions 28 to 507 of the family's 1533-position model. The record is from RNAcentral.
AGCGAACGCUGGCGGCAUGCCUAACACAUGCAAGUCGCACGGGGGGGCUUCGGCCUCCCUGUGCCGGUCGGGUGAGGAACGCGUAGGGACCUGUCGAGGUGAGGGGGCUAACCGCGGGAAACUGCGGCUAAUACCGCAUGACGCCGCCGCGUGACAGCCGGGGCCACAGGCGAAAGCCGCCCGAGGAGGGGCCUGCGUCCGAUUAGCUGGUUGGCGGGGUGGCGGCCCACCAGGGCGUCGAACGGUAGCAGGUCUGAGAGGGUGCGCAGCCACACCGGGACUGGGCAGCGGCCCGGACUCCUACGGGAGGCAGCAGUGGGGAAUAUUGGAAAGUGGGCGGAAGCCUGAUCGAGCAAUGCUGCGUGGGUGAAGAAGGUCUGCGGAUUGUAAAGCCCUUUCGGCGGGGACGAUGGUGACGGUACCCGCAGAAGAAGCCCCGGCUAACUUCGUG